GACGAACGCUGGCGGCGUGCUUAACACAUGCAAGUCGAACGGAAAGGCCCUGCUUUUGUGGGGUGCUCGAGUGGCGAACGGGUGAGUAACACGUGAGUAACCUGCCCUUGACUUUGGGAUAACUUCAGGAAACUGGGGCUAAUACCGGAUAGGAGCUCCUGCUGCAUGGUGGGGGUUGGAAAGUUUCGGCGGUUGGGGAUGGACUCGCGGCUUAUCAGCUUGUUGGUGGGGUAGUGGCUUACCAAGGCUUUGACGGGUAGCCGGCCUGAGAGGGUGACCGGCCACAUUGGGACUGGGAUAGUGCCCAGACUCCUACGGGAGGCAGCAGUGGGGAAUAUUGCACCAUGGGCGGAAGCCUGAUGCAGCAACGCCGCGUGCGGGAUGACGGCCUUCGGGUUGUAAACCGCUUUCGCCUGUGACGCAGCGUGAGUGACGGUAAUGGGUAAAGAAGCACCGGCUAACUACGUG
This 468-nucleotide ribosomal RNA is filed under the name uncultured bacterium. Its description in RNAcentral is "partial 16S ribosomal RNA". It matches the Rfam family "Bacterial small subunit ribosomal RNA", at positions 28 to 507 of the family's 1533-position model. The record is from RNAcentral.